AGUGAACGCUGGCGGUAGGCCUAACACAUGCAAGUCGAACGGCAGCACAGUAAGAGCUUGCUCUUACGGGUGGCGAGUGGCGGACGGGUGAGGAAUACAUCGGAAUCUACUUUUUCGUGGGGGAUAAAGUAGGGAAACUUACGCUAAUACCGCAUACGACCUACGGGUGAAAGCAGGGGAUCUUCGGACCUUGCGCGAUUGAAUGAGCCGAUGUCGGAUUAGCUAGUUGGCGGGGUACAGGCCCACCAAGGCGACGAUCCGUAGCUGGUCUGAGAGGAUGAUCAGCCACACUAGAACUGAGACACCGUCCAUACUCCUACGGGAGGCAGCAGUGGGGUAUAUUGGACAAUGGGCGCAAGCCUGAUCCAGCCAUACCGCGUGGGUGAAGAAGACCUUCGGGGUGUAAAGCCCUUUUUUUGGGAAAGAAAAGCAGCAGGUUAAUACCCCGCUGUUCUGACGGUACCCAAAGAAUAAGCACCGGCUAACUUCGUG
RNAcentral lists this ribosomal RNA (492 nucleotides) under uncultured bacterium. Its description in RNAcentral is "partial 16S ribosomal RNA". It matches the Rfam family "Bacterial small subunit ribosomal RNA", at positions 29 to 507 of the family's 1533-position model. The record is from RNAcentral.